GUUGCAGAGGUGUUUGCCAUGGUUCGCGCCCACGUUGCAGCUUUGGGGGGAAAUGCCGUUGUGUCUUACAGCAUGAAGGAGUGUGUGUUGAUGGAAAAUCCCAAUAAGAACCAGGCACAGUGUCUCAUCAAUGUGAGUGGCGAUGCCGUCAUCUGCGUGCGGGAAUUGGAUCAGGAGCCCGCGUCAUCCGCAACAAGCCUCGGACAAGCGUGCACGAGUGGAAUGGAAGGGUCCACAUGACAUCUGCCAUCACUCAAACGCAACAGUCUAGCCGUCCAAAUGAGAGCAAGCUUCGGUUGCCUUAACUCUGUCAAAUAUCCCAAAGUUCGGAUGCCGCUUUUGAGAAGCAACACAUGCGCACAAAAGAAAAUUACAAAUACUGACAUGGAUUUUUCUCACAUGAGUAUUUCCACCACAAUUGUUAAUAAUAACAGCAAAAGAAGAAGCAUCUAUUUUUUGCCUGCUAGCAUCGUUCGGGUUUGCUUACCAGCUAUGACCGCACACUCAUUUAAAGCGGGGUACACAAAUGACAAUUUUUAACAUCUAAAAUGAUUUAAAAUGUUAAAAUCUCCACACGAUGAUGGGGGAGAAAAACUCAUUGUAUUCUUCAUGCCCUUAUGGUUUGUGUUGUACUCCAGAUAACACCACACAUGAUAUCUGACCAACAAUCGCUCGUCUCCUUACCCAAUCCAGAUAUGUGUCAUUAGUACCAAGUUUGACCUGGGAAGGGACAGCAUGGUGCCACAGGGCAUCCACACUGCCCAAAGAGAAUUUGCAAUUGUUAAAAUGGCACAGGUUUAAUAUUAACAUUUUUCAUAUCUGAUCAUUUUCGAGCAGAUCUGGGAGAAAGAAAACCACGUAACGUACCCCGCACAACAGGAGAAUCGUUCAGAAUAAUCUUUUGCGAGACAACGAAUUACUUUGGUCAACACGUUUUUAAUUCGAGAUGGAACAAAACUUUUUUGCGCUGAUGGCCUCUUUUUUUCCCUCACACACAUAAUAAGAAUUUAACAUUAACACAAUAUAUAAUAUAGAAAUAUCCAUCUGUCCAUCCAUUUUCGAAUCCGCUUAUCCUCACAAGGGUCGCGGGCGUGCUGUUUAAUAUUUAGGAAUUAAGGGUUUGGUUCAGCAACAGGUGGAUUUUUUUUUCUGAAACGUCAUCAUGGCUAUAAAUUACAACUCGUCCGGUCAAACUUAAAAACCAAAAAUGAAAAUAUCUCAAAAACCUGAUUAGCUAGAGAAAAAGUAGACAUAUUUUUUUAAAUCAGCUUUAAAAAUAAAUAUAGGGACACAUACAGUAGAGCCAACUGAUUAUAAUUCGCUGUUGACCAGUGUCAUCAAGCCUUUGCUGGAAUGUGCUCAAAACUCCCGAAUUAUCAAAUAUAUUUCCAAGGUAUCAAGAAUAAAAAUGUCAAACAAAUAAAUGGUGUUAUUUAUUCUUAUUAUAAAUGACAUAAUGUGGAGCUGGAAAACUCACUCAGGGUAAUAUUUUAGAGACCUCCGAUCAUCAGACCUUGGAUCAUAAAAAAUAAAAAAAACCUCACAUUUCUCAAUUAUUUGACAUAUGUAUACAGGCUUCAGUCAUUGAUACAAGGGACUAUAUAAUAUUUCAAAUUUGCGCAGAUUACAUUUUGUGUUUUUAAUUAUUGACAAUUAUGAGGAGGUGUUUGAAAGCAACAAUCAUCAGCAUGCACAAAUUUGCCAAGUCCAUUUUGGACUGUCUUUAUAAAACCUGUUCCAGUACAGUAUUGCUCCCAGGAAGCAUCACCUACCACAAUUCUUGAGUGUCAUAGAAUCAGGUCACAGCCCCGUCCUAUCCAAUCUGUUUGCUGUGAUUUAUACAGUUAUGGUUUUACCGCCAAAAAAAAAAACCUUUAAAAAUUGUAUAUAUUCAAAGAAAUCAUGUUUUCAUGUUUAUUCUGAGUCCUAAUCCUGCUACUGAUUUUUGUUUGUUGUUCAUGAUGUCCAGUGCUAGAAAUAUUUUUUUUUUCAUAGUAAGCUCUAAAUGUUGCUUUCUAAUAAUUUUGGGGGUUUUUAUUUUUUGUAAGUGCAAUAAAUGCAUGUUUGGAAUUA
Long non-coding RNA from Hippocampus comes (tiger tail seahorse), 2073 nucleotides. RefSeq lists it as uncharacterized. Lineage: Eukaryota; Metazoa; Chordata; Actinopteri; Syngnathiformes; Syngnathidae. The transcript has 2 exons. The record is from RefSeq and is a predicted model, not a curated record.